Molecule: ribosomal RNA, 500 nt
Filed under: uncultured Myrionecta
Lineage: Eukaryota; Ciliophora; Litostomatea; Cyclotrichida; Mesodiniidae
Description: SSU rRNA
Rfam family: Eukaryotic small subunit ribosomal RNA
Source: RNAcentral
CGCAUUUCAAGAUAGCCAUGCACGUCUAAGUACAAACUAAAUGAUGGUGAAACUGCAAAUGGCUCAUUACAACGGUUAUGAUGUACCCGGGAGUUCCGAUGGAUAUUUCCAGUAACACUAGAACUAAUACAUGUCCCUGCGUUUAUUAGUUUCGCACAGUCCGUCGCUGAGUCAUGGUAAACAGUUGAUCGACUCGACGUCCCGGAACAGUUUCCGCCCCAUCAGCUUCGAUGGUUGGGUAUUGGCCUACCAUUGCAACAACGGGUAACGAGGAAUUAGGGUUUGAUUUCGGAGAGGGAGCCUGAGAAACGGCUACCACAUCUACGGAUGGCAGCAGGCGCGCAAAUUACCCAAUGCAGACACUGUGAGGUAGUGACGAGAAAUAAUAAAGCGGGACUUCUGUUUCGCUAUUAUAAUGAGGAAUAACCAAAGGUCAUUCCGAUUAGCAACUGAUGGGAAAGUCUGGUGCCAGCAGCCGCGGUAAUACCAGCGUCAGUAGC